AUGGCUGCGGCCAGCUUCCUCCUAAGCCCCAGGGUGACGCUGCCCCUGCGCCGAGGAUCCCGCCUCCUCGUGUCCUGCUCCGCCACUUCGUCAUCCUCCUCGUCAGAUGCUGCUGGAGGGGUGGGAUUCCAGGGAAGGGUGGGGUUCUUGGGCCUCGGGAUCAUGGGCGCCCCCAUGGCAUCAAACCUCAUAAAGGCUGGUUGUGAUAUUACAGUUUGGAACAGAACCAAGAGCAAGUGUGAUCCUCUUCUCAGCCUCGGUGCCAAGUUCGAAUCUUCACCCGCCAGAGUUGCAUCAUCUUGUGAUGUCACCUUUGCAAUGCUUGCUGACCCAGAAAGCGCGUUUGAGGUUGCAUGCGGCGCUAAUGGAGCCGCAGAAGGGAUGGCCGCAGGGAAAGGGUAUGUCGAUGUGUCGACAGUCGAUGAUGCAACAUCUAAGCUAAUCGGCAAACGUAUUACAAGUACUGGGGCAUCUUUUCUCGAGGCUCCAGUUUCAGGCUCAAAAAAGCCAGCAGAAGAUGGACUGCUGAUCUUUCUUACUGCAGGUGAUGAAUCCUUGUACAAGAGAGUGGCACCCCUACUUGAUGUCAUGGGCAAGUCAAGAUUUUAUCUUGGGGAUGUCGGGAAUGGCGCAGCAAUGAAGCUCGUGGUUAAUAUGGUGAUGGGGAGCAUGAUGGUCUCAUUUGCAGAAGGGCUACUCCUGAGUGAAAAAGUGGGGUUAGACUCGAAUACUGUCGUCGAGGUUAUUUCACAAGGUGCUAUCAAUGCUCCCAUGUUCUCCCUCAAGGGCCCUUCCAUGGUUAAAGCUGCAUACCCUACUGCCUUUCCCCUGAAACAUCAGCAGAAGGAUCUAAGGCUGGCGCUGGCCCUGGCAGAAUCGGUGUCCCAGCCCAUUCCUACAGCUGCAGCUGCAAACGAGCUGUACAAGGUAGCAAAAUCGCUGGGCCUCGCCGACCACGACUUCUCCGCAGUCAUUGAGGCGCUCAAGGCCAAAGUGCAGAGCUCGCAGCACUAG
RNAcentral lists this ribosomal RNA (1014 nucleotides) under Triticum aestivum (bread wheat). RNAcentral's name for it is "partial small subunit ribosomal RNA". Lineage: Eukaryota; Viridiplantae; Streptophyta; Magnoliopsida; Poales; Poaceae. The record is from RNAcentral.